RNAcentral lists this transfer RNA (61 nucleotides) under Haemopis sanguisuga. RNAcentral describes it as "tRNA-Lys". The record is from RNAcentral. Lineage: Eukaryota; Metazoa; Annelida; Clitellata; Hirudinida; Haemopidae.
GAUUAAAGAGCUUGGUAUAAGCAUAUAAUUUUUAAUUGUAAGAAAUCUAUGAUUUUAAUCA